GGCGACGUAGCUCAGUUGGUAAGAGCGGCGGAUUCAUAACCCGCAGGUCGUCGGUUCGAUUCCGACCGUCGCCACCA
RNAcentral lists this transfer RNA (77 nucleotides) under Candidatus Sumerlaeota bacterium. RNAcentral's name for it is "tRNA-Met". It matches the Rfam family "tRNA". From Rfam's summary of the family: Transfer RNA (tRNA) molecules are approximately 80 nucleotides in length. Their secondary structure includes four short double-helical elements and three loops (D, anti-codon, and T loops). Lineage: Bacteria; Candidatus Sumerlaeota. The record is from RNAcentral.